ACAACCCUGGCGUUGCAAGCGCCAUGCUCUACCAACUGAGCCACACGGGACCACAGUUACGGGAAGAAGGCCAUAUCCCUAAGGAUGUUAUACUGGAAGAUAUGAGAGAGUACUUACUGGAAGAAGGAGCUCGGAACAUGAAGCAUCUGCAGUCAACCAUUGGUUCCAGGGUCAGGGGACACAAAGAUGGCCUGCAAACUGCAUUGUAUGACCCAGAGAGAGUUUGAGGAGUAUUGGGUUUCUAAGGAGCGAUCCAGGCUGAAACUCAUUCAAAAUAAUGUAAAGCAUGAUGUGAACAAGGCCAGGCACCUGAAGGAGGCCAAAGAAAAGCGCAACAGAAAGAAAAUGCGUCAUGGAACAAAAGCAGGCCAUUCAGAUGAGGAAAAUGGAAGAGGAAUUGAAAAACCUCCAGGAGUUUGAGAGGUUGAGAGAGGCUACUAUUAAACCAAAUGAUCUAUUGGAAGAAAUAUCUGGAAAACCAGCUCCUGUCCAGCUCGCUCGCCUAGCUGCUCACACCAAAACUGUGAAGAAAACAGUUUCUCUGUCAGGCAAGUCAGUUUCAC
This is a long non-coding RNA of Salvelinus namaycush (lake trout), 563 nucleotides long. RefSeq lists it as uncharacterized. Lineage: Eukaryota; Metazoa; Chordata; Actinopteri; Salmoniformes; Salmonidae. The transcript has 4 exons. The record is from RefSeq and is a predicted model, not a curated record.